Non-coding RNA from Xyrichtys novacula (pearly razorfish), 6791 nucleotides. NCBI's taxonomy places the organism in Eukaryota, Metazoa, Chordata, Actinopteri, Labriformes, Labridae. The record is from the annotation of a GenBank genome assembly.
CUUCUACUGCAGUCCUACCAGGAACCAAUCACUUCAGGGUAUUAUGCUCAUUUAUAGCAUCAAGAAUACUGGCUCACUGCUGCACUCCUUAUUGUAACCUCAAAUACCUCUCUAACUUCUGCAGUUAUAGAGAGAAAGCUUUUUCACAGAAGUAUCUUUAUAGAUACAUUAAAUAAAGAAAAAGAGAAAUGAAUGAGGUCAAAUCAGCAAAACUUAUUUUUGUGAAACUGUUCUUUCAAGGAUGUCAUAACUUCUACAAAUGCUAUAUCUAAUGAGGUGACUGAACUGCCAAAUUUAGCUUUACUGGAACACAAAUGUAGCUCUCUAAAAAGUGAUGGUGUAACUGACAGCAAAACUGGCACCUACAAGGACAGACAAUUGAAAAAGAUGUGAGCUCUCUGGCUUAUAAGUCUUGUUUCUCAAAAUGAAACCAGAUUGACUUCCUCUUGCACAGCUCUUCUUCGAUUUAUUGUAAAAAGGAACUCUCAUUCUCUGUCACUUUUCCACAACCUGUGUCUACCAAAAAGUGGAAGGUUAAAGGCCCUGUUUUUGACUUACACCAUGAUGAAAUUCAGCCUGUUGGUGUUAUUAAAAGCUCAGUGUAUUUCCUUGAAUGGAGCCGCCAUACAGAUCUGUGUGUUGUUACCUUCACUUUGCACUGACUGCAUCCAGGCCUGAGGAAUAAUGAGGAGCCGCAUGAAACCUCAGGGGUAAUGUAGGCAGCUCUUGUUGUACAAGAGAUAAACAAAUCAUUUGCUGUAAUGCCUAUGUUAUCUAAAUAAUGAUAUCACCGUGAAUAAUGUUAUUUGAACGACAAUAAAUGGCUGUUUGAUAAGCUGAGCGGGGAUUUACAGUGUCUGUGGGGACAAACAUGAUAGUAGUGAAAUAAAUGUAAUCCAAAGCACGAUGUUGUAAUUCAAUCUUAAGCUCGGAUCUUUACGGUACAGCCGGGGUCUCCUCCAGCAGCGGCAGACUGCCAUAGAGCGCCACAUCAGCCAGAUAAAUUCUCAUGACAGUCUGCGAAAUGCUCCCAUAACCAGUGACACUGGAUGAUUUCCCGCCUCUGACAAGCCCCAGUAUUGAGUAUGAUAACACUUACUUUGUCUUCAUCCUUGGCUGGAGUAUAAUAUCAAUCCGUUUGAUGAUCCAGCAAACCGAGUCGAGCACUUGUGUAUCAAUCUUCAUACAUCGCUGCCUAGUGUCUAACAAAGAGCCCAGAAUGGGAUCAUUCAAUCACUCGUGGGCCGCGCUGCGCUCCUUACACUUGGCCUUCUCCACAGCUCAAGUGUUUCACUCGCUGUCAGCAUCCCUCCUAUUUUUCAUCCCCUUCUUCUCCCUGUCUCUUUCUUUUUCUCGUGAGGGGGAUAAAGACACAAAUUAUACAUGAUCACAGAGCUGCGUGCUUGUCAUAACGAAAUGUCAGAUGAUCAAAUAGGAUCUGGAGAAGCUUCAAAUGGCGUUUCUGCCUGUUCUCCUCUUCUUCAUCUUUCACCUUUCUCAUGACCUAACUCUACUUUUACUACCCAUAAAUCACUGCUGCUUUACCUCCUCACCCUUCACCCUCACAGCUUAAAUCUGUCCUUCAUUAUCUGUCCCCCUUUAUUUGAAAAUCAAAACCAUAACACACUUCUCAAAUUAUAUAAACCACAGUGAAAACUCAACUUUGACCCAAAUACAAGUUGACAUUUUGAGAAGUGGGCUUAUUUGUUGAUUCGAAUGAUUUGAAAAUUAAUGUGUUUAUAGUUACAGUAAAAUUCCUUCAGUUUUGACGGUUUGACGGUAACACUUUCUUUGCAACUUUAGACUCAUCAGCUAACUUGCAGAUCAUUUAAUUAACAGUAUAUCAAACAAUGUCUUUGGUAAUCAAGUUUUAAACUAUCCUGCUAUAAAUUUAUAAAUUUAAUUACACUUAACAUUGUCUAGGGGAACUGACCAAUCAGAAUCAAGCAUUUAACAAGGCCAGCUGAUUAAGGGAGCUGAGCGAUAAAUGGUCUUUAGAGUUUCUAAACGGUGUUUUGUUCUUUUCUCUCUGUUAUGUUAAUUAUAUGUGCUAAGUAUAAGCUAAAAAGCUGCUGGAAAUAACUAAAAAUUUACUACAGGAGUGACUCUUCUCAUUCAAAAUGUGUUUUUCUGAAGAUGGAAAUGUAAUCUCUUGAGGAAGCAGCAACCUCUAAGGUGAUUCUAUCAAGUUUCGAGAAUUAUUUUAGCACAUUAGUUUGCUCUUGCCAAGUUUUUAAAGUAUUUAGAUUUUUUGAAGCAGUACUGUUAUUGAGGAAAAAACUGUUCUCUUUCAAAACAACUCACUGCUGUUCAGCUGUUGAACAAAGAGAGAGAGAGAGAGAAAAGUGUUUCUGAGUUGUGGAACUCUAAUAAAAAUUUGGAGUUACAUCCAGACAAAACAUAUACUUGCUUGGCACCAUAUCAUCAUCUAGCUUCGGCUAGGGGAACACUGAAGUAGGCUCUGAAAUAUCAAUUUAAUCUACUGCUACCAACUCUGGUUGAAAGUGGGGUCUGCCAUGGAAAUACAAUAUAUAUUAUAUAUGUAUAACACAAUGCAUUUAAAAAGCACCAACCUCUAGAAUAACCAUGCAGUUAAAUCAACCCUUCUGUUAAACAACAAAAAAACAUUACAGAUGACAUAAUUUCAAGAUUGUGAAUCAUGGCUAAAAAGCACUGACCACCAUUGCAAUUUGCUCAUGGGCUGAUGUCUGUCGGGAAAGUAAAUAUCAGUCAAUACCAAUGAUAAACUAAACGCUGGUGCAUCUCUAGUGUAAAAACAAUCCUUAACAUUUAAGUUACAGUGUAUUGAGUUUGUUGAGCCAAUACUGAGAACUGAAAAUAAUCCCUUCUGAUGGCCAAACACCAAUAUUAUAACCAACCAUUCACGUUUGCAUUUUAAAAUGUGUAUUUUCUGCACACCUGGGGGUAAAGAGGCUAAAAUAUGGUGAGAAAAGAUACUAAUAUAUCAGCAUUGUCACUUGUUUAUUCAUUUUAACUUAAGUCCUUAUUCUUUUUAUUGAUAGAUAGAUUUGAACCUGGGGCGCCUGUAUUGUGGACUACACCCUCUGCUAAUGGGGCCUCAUGCAAAUCAAGGUCAAACCAGCACCCCAUAACUUUAUUUUCUUUGUUUUACUAAAACAAACACCGUCCCUGAGCGUACUGCAUUGUACAUUAGUGUUCUUUUGGGCCUUCAAACUUAAAAUUCUUAACAAGACUUUUGCCGGGGAAAGUCCUACCUCCUUCGCCCUGAUUGGCUAGAAAAGCUGGAAACGACAUUACACGCUCAAGCCAAACGGUCAGCACUUAUAGCCAAUCAGAGGCAAUAAGAUAAGCACAUGAAACUAUGGUAACAACUGUUAGCAUAUGUUAGCACAGAUGAAAGUUAAAACAAAGACGUCUAGCAAACUGUUAAAGCACACAAACUAUCGUCAUAUGAGAAAUCCGGUGCUAUGACUCUCCAUAAGUUGUCCUUCAGGUCGUUAUCUUUGUAAUGUUUGUAUCUUUUAUCAAAAAGCACUUUGUGCCCCGACACGUAAUCAAUCAGCCAGUCGGCCAUGUUGGAUAUACCAGUGAAGCUGAAACGCAACAACAUGCAAUCUGAUUGGUCAGAAGUGGACACACAGUAUGCGAAACUUUAAAAAAAUCGACCAUGAUCCGAAAAAAUAAAUGCCUCAAUAUCGCAGGACGGGAAAACGUCACUGAUGUGAACGCUUGUAUUAACAGGAUAAGGGUUCGAAAAAAAAAUAUUGAUGUCCGAAAUAAUCGCAUGACAAAAAUGGUCCCGGUGUGAAAGGACCUUAACACUAACUUAGCAUUAGCUUUUCUACAGUCAGCCAGUUAGAGGGGUGGUUUAUCAAAUGAAAACUACUCACCCUCCUUAUCUUUGAACAAUUUGCUUGCGUAGAGUGGAGACUUGUGUAGAGACUUUAUCACAGAAACAUAAAUGUAAAAAAAAGACUUUUAGUUUCAGUAAAUUAAAGUUAACACUUUGCUGUGACAGUUAAUUCACCCACCUUCUGUGCGCCAGCAGUAUCGUGUGUGUGCAUGCGUGUGAGUGUGCAUGCACUUGCGCGGAAUGCAAGAAGAUAGCAUUGAAAACGUGGACUGGGGUUUCAGUGGUUCAGGUUUGAUCUCAAUAAACGAGCAGAACGGAUUUAGUAAUGAAGCUCGGACACAGCGCUCUGAAAACAGCGCUGAGUGAACAGGCUGAUGUAUUGAUGGAGAUCCAAAAUAAUGAUUUUUGGUAGCUAUACUAACGAUUACAAUGAAACGCUGAAGCAGAGGGAACUCAGCUCCUACUGGCCAUACUGACGAGGUGAAGAGGCGGAGCUAAGCUCUGGCCUAAUUUAAUGUCCGGGUGGAGCUCAUACUGCCACCUACAGAGUCAAAGUCUGGAGGUCUAAAGGUAAAUAAAUGAAAGCAACCUUAGUUGUUAGUUUUAACAGGGUAAAAAAAAACAAAAAAACUAUAUUAUCAGUGAACAGUAUGACGAUCCAUUAUCUUAUAGCCAUGGUCCAUGUUUUACAUUUUAAUGAAUGCUGUUUAAUUUCAUUCUUAAGCAUAAAUGAUAUGAUACAAUCACAUUGGUUGUUGUUUUAAGACACUCAGCUGAUAUUUCCUGCAGAAUAACUAAAGCUGUAGCACACUGGCAGUUUGUGUAUCUACUCUGACCAUUGACUGUGGCUUUGCAGCAUUGUUUGGUGCACUGUGAAGACAACUAUGAGGCUGUGCUCACCCUGUGAAAUAUAGCUCAAUCAAUAGAAGCUCAGCAAUCAACUUUUACUUGUCAGUUUUGAUAUAUCCGAUCAUGGCUUUGGGAUGUUUUGCGACGUCUAAUGUUCUGUGAAGAUGGGCUUUUCAUAUUCUUUAUUGUUUCUCCCUUUUUUUGCCCCCAUCGACAAAAAAAUGUGUCCACACUUUUGUGAAAUAAAACCUCAGAGGGAGAGAGGAUGGGGGAAAAUUAGAGAGGUGGAGGGGGGGUGAGGGAAACAAUGAAAUUUAACCCGUUUAAAACUGUAUCAUUUUCAGACCAUACCUCAGGGCGCUGGGUGUUUAUCGGCAGGACUGGAGAAGCAGAGAUCACCGGACUGGUAAUUGUUUCCUCUAAAUCUGCUGAGCUCUGAGGAACACCGAGUGCAGUUUUUCAUCAGACAGAGAAUGAGAGGGUAAAAGGACAAUACUAAGAAAAGCAAAAAUGCUUUAGUCCAUCAUGUUGGAUUUUAUCACUUCAUCUAACAAGUGAGUAAGGCCACUAGCCUCGCUCACAACAUAAUUAUAAACACAGCUUUGGCUUCUGCUGUGUUCACUGGAAAAAUACUCAAGUAUGGUAUUGUUUUUUUCCACAAACAUCAUUUUCUUUGAGCAAAGCGACCUGAAAGCAAAGAAGGGGAAAAUACACCAUAAAUUGCAUUUUAAAUUUGAUGGAAAGAGAAGCAGAAUUGAGGUGUUUUUGAAAAGCACCUUAGCACUAACUUGAUUUGACAUUUUCCUAUUGAGUCAAAGCUUUAGCAAUGGGCCUGAUAUCUCAUUUAGCUGUAAAGUGAUGUGCGCUCCACGCAGCAGCAAAAAAAAAAGACAUCAGAAAAAGCAAAGUACUGCCACUCUCCGCUCGGACCAAUUUGUCUCCAUCACUCCACUCAUAUAAACACUGAAUGAUUUAGCUAAAAUUGUGCCCAGAAUCUUAUGGGGAUUUUUUUUCUCCCCACUUUAUUUUCAUUAUACUUGCGAGUAUGUUCGAGGUUUGGAUUCUAUGCGUGCGUUUAGCUUUGAAAGUCUCAGAUUUAGUGCGCUGGUAUUGGCUCAUUUUUCAUAUCCAUUGUUGGCUUGUCAGAGUGUCAUAGCUGUUCCACAGAGCUGUUAGAUCAGUCCAAAUGUAUAAAUCAUCCAGGAUCUGACACACUCAUUUAAUUUGGGGGGCCCUGGUGCAGCAGCGGGCCUAUUAAUGAAAAAUCCCUGCUCUGUUUGCUGAGUGGGAACAUUCAGCCUUUUUUAUUUUAUUUUUUAUUAACGUUGAUAUUCUGUAUGAUUUCCCUCAGUAGCCUGUUGGCUGCCAACCUGGCACUUUGUCAUUUAUCAUCAUAUGUCAUGUUGUUCGAUCUGUUGAAUUCUUUCAGUCUAAGCUCCUUUACGAAAAUCACUUUGCAUAUUUAGAAAAAAAAAAGGGGCAAACUCUGAGGGCGCUAGGUGAACCAAACCUCUCACAUUCCUCUGUGCAGCAGUGGUUCCAACCCUGGAGCCUGUGUUAUUGUUUUCCAUCUGUGAAAUAAAGUAACAGGUACUUAAUGUACCAAAAACAAUUUGUACAGCAGUUCUUUUUCCCCAUUGAAGGCGUGCAUGGCUCGCUGAGGGCUCCCCUUAUCUCAGCGAGGCUAAUCCAUUUUCACACUGCGCUCCGGCGCUCUCAUUUUACAGCUGAGGAGCUCUCCGGCUCCACGCUGGGCCUGAAAUGGGACCCCAGUCACUGCGGCCCCUUGGAGUUUGCGUAGGUAAGUGUGCAGAACAAAUGCUGAAAAGUCUUUAAAAAGUUAAAGGGACUAGUUUGGCUUCUCCCUCUCUCUCUUUUGCCUCUCUCUCUCUCUCUCUCUCUCUUUCUUUCUCCGGGUCCCACCUGAUCACCUACAUUUUUCCUGCAUUUCAGAGUGAGCGGCUGUGCUGUGCUCUGUCACAGGAGAGUGUUUGCACACAGAAAAGUCCACAGUAAGUAAAAAAAAAAGGUGUUUAUCUGUGCAUUUCAUUGCGCUGAUGUGUAUUGAUUGUAUUUGCUUAGUAUGAUUGAUUAAAAUGUUUAUGAU